RNAcentral lists this ribosomal RNA (174 nucleotides) under Parathielavia coactilis. RNAcentral describes it as "Thielavia coactilis 5.8S ribosomal RNA". The stretch from base 1 to 154 matches the Rfam family "5.8S ribosomal RNA". Rfam says of the family: 5.8S ribosomal RNA (5.8S rRNA) is a component of the large subunit of the eukaryotic ribosome. It is transcribed by RNA polymerase I as part of the 45S precursor that also contains 18S and 28S rRNA. Lineage: Eukaryota; Fungi; Ascomycota; Sordariomycetes; Sordariales; Chaetomiaceae. The record is from RNAcentral.
AACUUUCAACAACGGAUCUCUUGGUUCUGGCAUCGAUGAAGAACGCAGCGAAAUGCGAUAAGUAAUGUGAAUUGCAGAAUUCAGUGAAUCAUCGAAUCUUUGAACGCACAUUGCGCCCGCCAGUAUUCUGGCGGGCAUGCCUGUCCGAGCGUCAUUUCAACCAUCAAGCCCCGC